GACGAACGCUGGCGGCGUGCCUAAUACAUGCAAGUGGGACGCAAGGGAACACACUGUGCUUGCACACCGUGUUUUCUUGAGUCGCGAACGGGUGAGUAACGCGUAGGUAACCUGCCUAUUAGCGGGGGAUAACUAUUGGAAACGAUAGCUAAUACCGCAUAAUAUUAAUUAUUGCAUGAUAAUUGAUUGAAAGAUGCAAGCGCAUCACUAGUAGAUGGACCUGCGUUGUAUUAGCUAGUUGGUAAGGUAAGAGCUUACCAAGGCGACGAUACAUAGCCGACCUGAGAGGGUGAUCGGCCACACUGGGGCUGAGACACGGCCCAGACUCCUACGGGAGGCAGCAGUAGGGAAUCUUCGGCAAUGGACGAAAGUCUGACCGAGCAACGCCGCGUGAGUGAAGAAGGUUUUCGGAUCGUAAAGCUCUGUUGUAAGUCAAGAACGUGUGUGAGAGUGGAAAGUUCACACAGUGACGGUAGCUACCAGAAA
RNAcentral lists this ribosomal RNA (486 nucleotides) under Streptococcus mutans. RNAcentral describes it as "bacterial SSU rRNA". It matches the Rfam family "Bacterial small subunit ribosomal RNA", at positions 28 to 489 of the family's 1533-position model. Lineage: Bacteria; Bacillati; Bacillota; Bacilli; Lactobacillales; Streptococcaceae. The record is from RNAcentral.